UCAGACUGCAGGCUGCAACUCGCCUGCACGAAGUCGGAAUUGCUAGUAAUCGUAGGUCAGCAUACUACGGUGAAUACGUUCCCGGGCCUUGUACACACCGCCCGUCAAACCAUGAGAGUUGGCAACACCCGAAGUCGGUAGUCUAACCGCAAGGAGGACGCCGCCGAAGGUGGGGUUGAUGAUUAGGGUUAAGUCGUAACAAGGUAUC
Molecule: ribosomal RNA, 208 nt
Filed under: uncultured bacterium
Lineage: Bacteria
Description: partial 16S ribosomal RNA
Rfam family: Bacterial small subunit ribosomal RNA
Source: RNAcentral